AUACGGGAGGCAGCAGUGGGGAAUAUUGGACAAUGGGCGCAAGCCUGAUCCAGCCAUGCCGCGUGAGUGAAGAAGGCCUUAGGGUUGUAAAGCUCUUUUGGCGGGGACGAUAAUGACGGUACCCGCAGAAUAAGCCCCGGCUAACUUCGUGCCAGCAGCCGCGGUAAUACGAAGGGGGCUAGCGUUGUUCGGAAUCACUGGGCGUAAAGCGCACGCAGGCGGAUUGAUAAGUCAGGGGUGAAAUCCCGGGGCUCAACCUCGGAAUUGCCUUUGAUACUGUCUGUCUUGAGUUCGGGAGAGGUUGGCGGAAUUCCUAGUGUAGAGGUGAAAUUCGUAGAUAUUAGGAAGAACACCAGUGGCGAAGGCGGCCAACUGGCCCGAAACUGACGCUCAUGUGCGAAAGCGUGGGGAGCAAACAGGAUUAGAUACCCCGGUAGU
Molecule: ribosomal RNA, 438 nt
Filed under: uncultured bacterium
Lineage: Bacteria
Description: bacterial SSU rRNA
Rfam family: Bacterial small subunit ribosomal RNA
Source: RNAcentral